Molecule: ribosomal RNA, 595 nt
Filed under: Liolaemus rosenmanni
Lineage: Eukaryota; Metazoa; Chordata; Lepidosauria; Squamata
Description: partial small subunit ribosomal RNA
Rfam family: Bacterial small subunit ribosomal RNA
Source: RNAcentral
CACCCACACGGGCACCCAGCAGUGAUAAAUAUUAAGCAAUGAGUGAAAGCCGCUUAAGCUCGACUUAGUUAUGAUCAUUAGGGCCGGUAAACCUCGUGCCAGCCACCGCGGUUAUACGAGGGGCCCAAAACAACAGACACCGGCGUAAAUUGUGGCUAGAGCACCUUCUUACAACGCUGAAAAAUGAACAAAAACCUGAUCGUAAAAUCUAGGUUAAAAGAAACACAUACUUUCAGCUAUAAAGAAACUUGAACCCACGAAGACUAAGAAACAAACUAGGAUUAGAUACCCUACUAUGCUUAGUUGUUAACAUGACACCAAAAAACACCACUGUCCGCCAGAGAAUUACACGCGAAAAGCUUAAAACUCAAAGGACUUGGCGGUGCUCCAUAUUCGUCUUAGAGGAGCCUGUCCUAUAAUCGAUAACCCACGCUUUACCUUACCAUCUUUUGUUAAAACAGCCUAUAUACCGCCGUCGCAAACUUACCCCAUGAGGGCACAACAGUAAGUAAAAUAGUAACACACUAACACGUCAGGUCAAGGUGUAGCUAAUAAGAUGGAAGAGAUGGGCUACAUUUUCUAAAAAAGAACACAC